GGGGCUGUAGCUCAGCGGCAGAGUGCUUGCCUUGCAUGCAUGGGGCACUGGGUUCGAUCUUCAGCACCA
Molecule: transfer RNA, 69 nt
Filed under: Ictidomys tridecemlineatus (thirteen-lined ground squirrel)
Lineage: Eukaryota; Metazoa; Chordata; Mammalia; Rodentia; Sciuridae
Also listed under: 1 other name
Description: Spermophilus tridecemlineatus (thirteen-lined ground squirrel) tRNA
Rfam family: tRNA
About the family: Transfer RNA (tRNA) molecules are approximately 80 nucleotides in length. Their secondary structure includes four short double-helical elements and three loops (D, anti-codon, and T loops).
Source: Rfam by way of RNAcentral